RNAcentral lists this ribosomal RNA (368 nucleotides) under uncultured organism. RNAcentral describes it as "bacterial SSU rRNA". It matches the Rfam family "Bacterial small subunit ribosomal RNA", at positions 526 to 896 of the family's 1533-position model. The record is from RNAcentral.
CGGAGGGUGCAAGCGUUAUCCGGAUUUACUGGGUUUAAAGGGUGCGUAGGCGGGCUUUUAAGUCAGCGGUGAAAUCUCCGGGCUCAACCCGGAAAUUGCCGUUGAUACUAUUAGUCUUGAAUUAAGUUGAGGUGGGCGGAAUAAGUCAUGUAGCGGUGAAAUGCUUAGAUAUGACUUAGAACACCGAUUGCGAAGGCAGCUCGCUAAACUUAUAUUGACGCUGAGGCACGAAAGCGUGGGGAUCAAUCAGGAUUAGAAACCCUGGUAGUCCACGCCCUAAACGAUGAUUACUCGAUCUUAGCGAUACACAGUUAGGGUCUAUGCAAAAGCAUUAAGUAAUCCACCUGGGGGAUACGACCGCAAGGUUG